UGUGGUAGUGUCAAGUUUUGUUUAUGGAGCAUAACUUGUUGUUUGAAAAUUCUUGAGUUAAGUCUUGCUUCUAAGGCAAGAGUUAUAUAACAUCUCAUAAAUCAAGAAACAAUAUGGUAGUGUCAACACUUGUCCAUUGGGCGUAACUUAUUCUUUUGAGGGGUUCUUGGGCUAAGUCUUGUUUUUGAGGCAAGACUAAUAGAGCAUCACAUAAAUCAAGACACAAUAUGAUAGUGUCAACUAUUUUCCAUGAGGCGUAACUUGUCGGUUAAGUCUUGUCUCUAAGACAAGAAUUAUAGAAUAUCUCAUAAAUCAAGACAUGAUAUGGUAGUGUCAACUCUUGCCCAUGGGGCGUAACUUUCUAUUUGAAAGUCCUUGGACUAAUUUGUGCCUCUAAGGCAAGAGUUAU
RNAcentral lists this long non-coding RNA (409 nucleotides) under Capsicum annuum. RNAcentral's name for it is "long non-coding RNA (CANN_LNC017330)". The record is from RNAcentral. Lineage: Eukaryota; Viridiplantae; Streptophyta; Magnoliopsida; Solanales; Solanaceae.